GUAAAAAUUUGCAUGGUAUGAUUUUUAAAAACUUGAAUUUUUAACUUAAUGUACUAUAUUCUGUAGUAAUCUCAUUUUCAUGUUACCAAAGGAAACCUGUUAUGACCAGAAUAAAUUAUUUUCCCAACAUUGAACUAAGAAUUCCUAGAGCUGGGGAAAUAAAGGAAUGUCCUUUGCUGCCAGCCUCCUUCCUUCCUCCUUAGGAUACCUCUUUAAAAUUAAUUAUUAGUUUGGUUUUCCCGUUUAAUGGAGAAAUUAUUUAGGAUGUUUUCUAAAAUGUCCAAGUGGCUAGCUAUAACUUGCUGUUUAUUCUUUGAUUGACAGUGACUAAUGUCAUUUCACAGUGGCCAGGAAAUGUGGGCUGUAUGAUCUCCACUUUGAGAGGAUUUUGAGCCAAUGCCUGGUCAUUUAUGUGGCUGGCCUCUGGAUAUCUGAAAGUAAUAUGAAUCCUUCAUUUGCUGGUUUCAAAGUACUAUCUACCUAUCUUCCUGUCUAUCACAUAAAUGUUUCCAGUGAUGCCAUCAAUAGUUACAGAAAUUGAUUGAUUUUUAUAUAUCUGACCUAUUGAUUUCUA
Molecule: long non-coding RNA, 574 nt
Filed under: Pongo abelii (Sumatran orangutan)
Lineage: Eukaryota; Metazoa; Chordata; Mammalia; Primates; Hominidae
Description: lincRNA
Source: RNAcentral